Molecule: long non-coding RNA, 442 nt
Filed under: Gossypium barbadense (sea-island cotton)
Lineage: Eukaryota; Viridiplantae; Streptophyta; Magnoliopsida; Malvales; Malvaceae
Description: long non-coding RNA (GBAR_LNC005619)
Source: RNAcentral
GAAAAAAGCCUGGUUCUUUUAUUAAUAAUAUAAUUUAAGUUGACGGUAAAGACAUUACAAGGCUACUGAACUCAAAUGACUAGACUGCAGAAAAAAGUGUAGGCAAGCAUGGUGUCCACGUGAAACCCACAAAGGCUUAACAUAGCCUCUCCCACCCUCCAAAAUAUAGUAAGAGAUGGAGCAGCAAAUGGUGCGGGAGUGAGUGGGACAAUGGUGGCCGCCAAAUCGAUGGUCGGCUGGUGUUUGACAAAAUGCCCAUGUAAAUCUAAAUGGAAAGUCUCCUCUUUUCCCACGACGCAAUCCAUGAGCAAGUGUGCACCAUAGCAGCGUACACGUCCCUGCAACCACAAAGAAACAGCUUCAACCCCAAAAAAAGAAGGAAAAAGAAGAGUGGAAACAACACGUUUAUGGAGAAACAAAACAUCAAAUUAAUGAAAUUUUC